Non-coding RNA from Cinara cedri, 319 nucleotides. The record is from the annotation of a GenBank genome assembly. NCBI's taxonomy places the organism in Eukaryota, Metazoa, Arthropoda, Insecta, Hemiptera, Aphididae.
AGGUAGGUAUAUAGAUGCAAAAAACCAAAAUAUUUUUUUGGAGGGAGUUUAACACCUAACAAUAUUGAAUAUGUUUACUUGGUAUUUACUUUAUUUUACAAGGGCUUGAUUUGGGUGGAUUGGAUAAGUUUUAUGAGCUCAGUACCCUCAAGACCUCCUUUAUUUGCACCUACAGGUUAGGUUAGGUGAAUUAAUACGUGAACAACUGAACACAGAAUCCGGAAACACUUGUUUGUACACACAAUUUGUACUAACAUAUACUUGAUACACGAGAAUUUAAGUUCCGAGUUCAUUUGUUUUAGUAUUAUUCGUGUAUUCA